Pseudoliparis swirei is the source of this 1427-nucleotide long non-coding RNA. RefSeq lists it as uncharacterized. NCBI's taxonomy places the organism in Eukaryota, Metazoa, Chordata, Actinopteri, Perciformes, Liparidae. The transcript is spliced from 5 exons. The record is from RefSeq and is a predicted model, not a curated record.
ACGGUGAGGGUCCAUCUACAUCCGAGCCUUCUCAGAGUACUCAAAAGGUGUCAACAAGUAAGAGGCAAGAAAAGAGAUCUCCAGGUGCAUCAACUAGUCUGCUCAAAAGAUAUGAAAAGAUGAUAACAGUGAGCUGAUUGAGUCUGCUCAGAGGGACGAAACUGACCAGCUUGAGACCUCUGUGGAUGGCCUGAAUCCAACAUUCACACAACUUGGUCUCCUCAACUGGGUUGAAGAGAUGAUAACAGUGAGCUGAUUGAGUCUGCUCAGAGGGACAACUGACCAGCUUGAGACCUCUGUGGAUGGCCUGAAUCCAACAUUCACACAACUUGGUCUCCUCAACUGGGUUGAAGAGUGUCAAGCAUCACCUGGUGUGCACAACAAUAUCCUCCUUGGACAAGUAUGUUCAAUGUUUGGGACCUGUAUCCUCCUUCAAGUGGCGUGGCUAUGAAUGCAGAGAUAAGAUAUUUCGUGGAUUGGUACAAAGUGCGUCUUGGGGUAUUAGGUCGGUAUAUUUGCUGUGUUCAAAUGUACAAACCAUUCUAUAAUGAAACACUUAUGACAAAUAAUCCUUAAUUCACAGCAUAGGAUGCUAAAGGACUGCCAUCAUCCAGCCUUCAGUCUGUUCACCCCGCUGCCUUCUGGAAGGCGGUACCGUAGCAUCCGGUCUCGCACACAGAGACUGGAGAACAGUUUCUUCCCGAGAGCCAUCAGGCUGCUCAAUGGACACUGACACACGAUCGACACUUUUGCACUCGACACUUUACACUCGUCACUUUACAUACACUGUCACUUUCAGCCUUGUACUUAUACUUACACUUUCUAUUGCACUACCUGCUUUCACUACCUGCUACUCCCAUUUGUCUGUAGUUUAGUUAUUAUGUGUAUUAUAUGUUAGUAUUAUGUUCAGAGUUCUUGUACAGUGUGUAUGUCAUGUUAUAUUAUGUUCGGCUAUGAUAGUUGUGUGGUGCCUUGUCCUAAGAAUUUCAGUGCCCAGUCUGACCCUGUGUCAUUCUGUGUAUCUGACAAUAAAAUACUUGACUUGACUUGACUACAUCAACUAUUUCCAAAAUUGUGAAGUUUAAGUAUAUCAUUGAAAUUACUUAAAAGUGUUUUAUUUUUGCCUUAUUGGUACUGACAAGAUCUCUUAUGGUUUAAUGCUAGAGGUUCUUUUCCAAUACACCAGCUGUUACACUUAAAAGUGUAAACAUGGGCAACAAUUAUCUCUAUAAAAGGGGACAUUUUUGCAUGUUCAUGUAUUCCAGAUCUCUGUAUUGCUCUGACAGGAACAACUGUGGUAUUUAAACUUGUACUAUAUAUUCAAAAUGUCUUCCAGUUUGUUCUGGCAUCAAUCCUCAGAAGAGUUACAAAUGAUAACCAACACCCAUCACAGUUUCUGGAGUGCAUGUCCGAUGAGGAAUGCACAC